This 412-nucleotide ribosomal RNA is filed under the name uncultured Opitutia bacterium. RNAcentral describes it as "bacterial SSU rRNA". It matches the Rfam family "Bacterial small subunit ribosomal RNA", at positions 506 to 916 of the family's 1533-position model. Lineage: Bacteria; Pseudomonadati; Verrucomicrobiota; Opitutia. The record is from RNAcentral.
UGCCAGCCGCCGCGGUAAUACAGAGACUGCAAGCGUUACUCGGAUUCACUGGGCGUAAAGGGAGCGCAGGCGGACUCGUGUGUCGGACGUGAAAUACCGGGGCUUAACCCCGGUGCUGCGUUCGAAACUACGAGUCUAGAGACUUGGAGGGGUAAGCGGAAUUCUUGGUGGAGCAGUGAAAUGCGUAGAUAUCAAGAGGAACACCAACGGCGAAGGCAGCUUACUGGACAAGAUCUGACGCUCAGGCUCGAAAGCGUGGGGAGCAAAAGGGAUUAGAUACCCCUGUAGUCCACGCUGUAAACGGUGCGCAUUAGGUCUUGGAGCUUUCGAACGCUCCAGGGCUCAAGCUAACGCAUUAAAUGCGCCGCCUGAGGACUACGGCCGCAAGGCUAAAACUUAAAUAAAUUGGCGG